UUCUCUCCCUCUCUUCAUCUCUUAGUAGAACACCAUCAAAGAAUCAGCUCUUGACUUCCAGACUAUCUCAUUUAUUAAAUAAAGGAGUGAGGACCCUACACACUGGAAGAGUCAUUGGCUCAGAUCAUUGAGGCUGGUAAAAGAGUUAUAGAUGAUCCUACACAUCUUGCUGAUUUUGGAGCUGCACUGACCAGUGGAGAAUCACAUCAAAUUCAAGCAGUUCUUGAAUGUCCAGACGUAA
This is a long non-coding RNA of Amphimedon queenslandica, 241 nucleotides long. RefSeq lists it as uncharacterized. The record is from RefSeq and is a predicted model, not a curated record. The transcript has 2 exons. NCBI's taxonomy places the organism in Eukaryota, Metazoa, Porifera, Demospongiae, Haplosclerida, Niphatidae.